This 425-nucleotide long non-coding RNA is filed under the name Androctonus crassicauda. Lineage: Eukaryota; Metazoa; Arthropoda; Arachnida; Scorpiones; Buthidae. The record is from RNAcentral.
AAAUUAAACUGGAUGAAGAACCAUUUUUAUAAAUAGCUGGCAACAAGUAAUCUCGUCAACUUGACAUCCGUUUCUAGUCUCGUGCGAUUCGGAAAUGGCUACGAUGGGAAAACAAGGUUCUAUUUGGCCUAAGUGGCAAAUUGCAUUAGCUAUAGGUACACCAUUAGCUAUUGGAUUAGCUUAUUGGUAUUUAAGGAGUUGUAAAUAUUCAAAUAAUAAAAAACCAAAAAUUGUCGAUAGCGAAAAGAAAAAAGAAUCCAAUACAAUUGGAGCAGAAGGGGACCAAGAGGGAACUGUGCCACAGGUUUCAAAUUUAUUUUAUGACAGUAUUUAUGUACUUUAACACUAUAUAAAACUUAUAUAUUUUUAAUGAUUAUUAUUAAAAUUGGAUAUAUGUUUUAACAGUUUUGUAAUUUAAAAGACAA